RNAcentral lists this unclassified non-coding RNA (377 nucleotides) under uncultured Bacillaceae bacterium. RNAcentral's name for it is "contains 16S-23S intergenic spacer region". The record is from RNAcentral. Lineage: Bacteria; Bacillati; Bacillota; Bacilli; Caryophanales; Bacillaceae.
UCCGGCUUGUCACCGGCAGUUCCCCUAGAGUGCCCAACUUAAUGCUGGCAACUAAGAUCAAGGGUUGCGCUCGUUGCGGGACUUAACCCAACAUCUCACGACACGAGCUGACGACAACCAUGCACCACCUGUCACUCUGUCCCCGAAGGGAAAUCCCUAUCUCUAGGGGUGUCAGAGGAUGUCAAGACCUGGUAAGGUUCUUCGCGUUGCUUCGAAUUAAACCACAUGCUCCACCGCUUGUGCGGGUCCCCGUCAAUUCUUUUGAGUUUCAGCCUUGCGGCCGUACUCCCCAGGCGGAGUGCUUAAUGCGUUAACUCCAGCAUCAAGGGGCGGAAACCCCCUGACACCUAGCACUCAUCGUUUACGGCGUGGACUAC